RNAcentral lists this small nuclear RNA (299 nucleotides) under Prolemur simus (greater bamboo lemur). RNAcentral describes it as "7SK RNA (ENSPSMG00000013076.1)". It matches the Rfam family "7SK RNA". Rfam says of the family: 7SK was discovered as an abundant small nuclear RNA in the mid-70s but a possible function has only recently been suggested. Two independent studies have found that 7SK RNA binds the CDK9/cyclin T complex (known as elongation factor P-TEFb). The record is from RNAcentral. Lineage: Eukaryota; Metazoa; Chordata; Mammalia; Primates; Lemuridae.
GGAUGGGAGGGCAAUCUGGCUGCCACAUCUGUCUCUGCAUUGAUCACCAGGAUUGUUUGGCUGAUCUGGCUGGCUAGGCUGGUGUCCCCUUCCUCCCUCAUCACUCCAUGUAUGUCCCUUCGGAAGCUGUGUGCUCGGUCCAAGACGAUGACCAUCCCUGAUAGAGGAGGACCAUUCUUCAGUCAAGGAUAUUGGAGUAGCUGAGCUUCCCUGCUAGAACCUCCAAACAAAAAGGAGGGCCAGGCAAUAGGGCUUUGGAGCUCUUAGAAAAGAGAUGUAGUCCAGAGCCCUAGUGCUUU